Molecule: long non-coding RNA, 3674 nt
Organism: Harpia harpyja (harpy eagle)
Lineage: Eukaryota; Metazoa; Chordata; Aves; Accipitriformes; Accipitridae
Exons: 3
Source: RefSeq, a predicted model, not a curated record
AACCGUAUUUUUUGUUCCCUUCUACCUCUUGCUGUGACCCAUGUGUCCCUCUGUCUCUUGGAGCUGCGCCGAAAUCUUUUUGAACAGAAACAGUCUGGAAGAUGGCCUGGAAGACCUCCAUCUCCGUCUGCACUAUGGACUUCAAUUUCGCUGCCUAGCAAUCAACUUCAAGAUGGGAUUGUACUGCUACAGGUUGAUUAAUCCAUUAUCCUGAUGAUGCAUGGAUGCUGUGGCUCUGUUUUCCUGAGGUCGAGCCAGUAGUGAGGCUGAGCACAUACUCCUCAGGCAUAUACGGAAACACACAAGCACAUACAGUCAGAAUACUCAAGCACGCUGCUGGCCACAGAGAUCAACAUGCACAGGAAGUACCUCACCCCAUAUAAUGUGCCUUGAAAAGUUAACUAAUGAUCCUAUGAAGCUAUCAGAAAUAGCAAGACAUUUAAAAACUAAGCAUCCCGAACAGGAAGACAAACCUCUACAAUUUUUUCAGUGAUAUUUCAAAGUAUGUGAUAUUCAAUGCAGUACUUUUUAUAGAAUUUCACUGAACUUAAUGAUAAAUGUUUAGAAGCCUUCUUUGAGGUUUCUUACUUCAUAGCAAAAGACAAAAAGCCACAUACCACUGGGGAAACACUUGUUCUUCCUGCCAUGGUAAAAAUGGCUGCAGCGAUACGCAGAAAGCAAUACAGCGGCAAACAAAUGCAUUCCUUUGUCAGCAAACACUGUUGGAAGAUGCAUAGAAAACAUUGCUGAAGAUUUGAAGAAACAAGUAUCAGUACAAAUUACACAGUGUGAGAGGCUUGCUAUGCAGCUUAUGGUAUUUGCUAGAUUCUGUUUUGAUAGUGAAAUGCAUGAAGAACUACUUUCUGUGAGCCACUAAAGGAAAGACCUACCAGAGAAGCUACAUUCUCAACAGUAAAUUACUUCUUUAAUAAAAAUGUUUUAUGGAAAAGCUGUGCAAGUGUAAUGACUGCUGGAGCAGCUGCUUUGGCAUAAGAAAAGGAUUGUGUGGUAAGGUUACAUAGACAGCAACACACCUGAAAUUCGUUCCCUGCGUUGUUCUUAGGCAAGCUAUUGCAGCAAAGAAAUGGGAGCCAGAUAUGCACAAAGUACUACAGGAUGUCAUCGAUGUGGUUAAUUUUGUAAAAACAAGCCUUCGGAACAGCAGAAUCUUUACAGUACUUCCUAAUGAGAUGGGGACUGACCAUGAAAAUCCUUUCUACCAUACAGACAUUUGCUGGUUAUCUUGUGGCAAUGGGCUUUUAAAAGACUUGUUGAAUUUAAAGACCAGUUACACGUUUUUCUUUUACAAAAAAAGAAGUGUUCUGAAUUUGCUGAUCUUUUCUGUGAUGACACGCGUCUGUCAGUAGCAUGCUACCUAGCAGUUAUUUUUAAAAAAAUAAACACAUUUAAUGCCUCCCUUCAAGGUGAAAGUGACAUUGUAACAGUGGGUGAGAAAGUAACUGCUUUUCAAAAGAAACUUGUGCUGUGGAGAUUUUUGUGAUUUUCUUGCCAGAAAUGAUGUGUCACCUACAAAAACUCUCAUACAUGAACACUUACAAAAUUUGGAAACAGAACUUUCUAAUCUGUUUAAAAAUCUUCCAGGUUAAGACUUUCAGUGGGUUUUGAACCCAUUUAUUAAAGAUAUAAGAAUGCAACACCUUCUGAUUAGUUUGCAAGUUUUGACAUCAGGCAGAUGGAAAUUUGCUAGCCAAAUUUCAACAAAAAUCUUUGCAUAUGUGGUGGAUGGGAUUCAAAAAUGAGUAUCAUGAUUUAGUAAGCACAGCCAACAAUAUAUUUCUUCCAUUUGGAUCUAUGUAUUUUUGUGAGAUAUCUUUUGCAGCUAUGACAGCCAUUAAGACCAAGUAUCGACAUAAACUGAACAUAGAACCAGACCUUUGGAUCACUGUAUCACAAAGUGUUAAACCAAGAUUUUAAAAAAUAAUGAAACAUAUCCAAUCACACUGCUCUCACUAAAAGUAAUUAUUAAUAAUAUUUUUAGUGAGAACAAAAAAGGGGUUUGUACCAUUAAUAAAAUAAAACAAACAUUAUUUUUAAUAUAUUGCUUAUUUAAUCUUUAAUCUUUUUAAAAUUUCUAUUUUUGUGUAUGUUUUAUAAUGUACAUAAUAUGUACAUAAUAUGUGCACUGGUACAUGUAUAUAAUUUAUAAAUAAAUAAAUAUACAUAUAUCAGGGGUGCAUGCUCAAAAAUUUUUUAUAUAUAGGAGUGUGUGAUCAAAAAGUUUGAUCACUGCCCUAGGCAAUCAUAGAUUACAUUAAAGCAUUUGUAAAUUCAAACUACACAAAGAAACAGCGUUGAAAAAAUAUUUCAAAAUUUCUCCCUUGAUAACUGCCCACACCUUCUACUGUACUACUGACAGCAAUUUGUAUCACUUCGUUUCUAAAAAGUCUUUGGGUUUUUUCUUCAGUGUUCUAUCCUACAUGUAAAACAUCCUUCCCAAACCUUUUCACUGAACCCAAACCUGUCCACUCAUUUAGAAGACCCUUAAAAUUUUUCUUCUUGUAUGUGGAAAGUGUUUGAAUUCACUCCUUUUAGCAAGUACAACAGAAUUUAAAAGUAUGCACAUUCCAUAUUGGAGUAAGACUCUGACUCUUUUAACACUUGUGCCAUUUCUCCUGUAUUUAAUGCUGUAUAUUUCCAGAUCUUAAAUUCCUCAGCUAAAUUUUGUAUUUUUUCAGGACACUAGAGCAAAAUGGACCGGUGAAGUACUUUGGAAAAAUAAUUUUCAUUUUCGCUUUUUCCAUCUUCCUACAAAUUUAGUAUUUUUGUUUGGGACACUCAGAACAAGCAUGUAAUGAUAAUUAUAAUGUUUAAAAAUCUCCACACACAUAAGAAAAACAUGAUAAUCCACUUUGUAACAACCCUUUUAAUAUAUCUAAUAAAGUUAAGGAGCUGACCUGAGGCCCCAGUAGCCGGACAUCCAUUUUGUUUCUUAACGCAGAAGAGGCCAUGGUAAGUAUUUCUCAUAAACUCAGAAAUGAUAAUUGUGCAAUCCAGGGAGAGGUUUAGGCAUCAGAUAUAAAAUACAAAUAUAGGCACGUAAAGUGGGACAUCAGACGCGAGAGUUCAAAACCGUAGUUGUGAAAACCCCAGUUCAGCAGCUGCAUAACCUUAGACAUGCUUCAUAGCGUUAGGCUGUCUAUAUGCCUGGUCCGUCACCUCUUCCUCUGCCAGUGCAAAGGAAAGCACCCGGUUUCCCAGUCACCACUGAACAGACACAAAGGAAGAAAAGGAAAAGAAAAUGCCCAAAUCUCUCUCAAUGGAGCGAAAGAGAUGUAGAUACUUCCCCAUCCAGACUACUAUUCACCUUGAAGUACUUUUUCAAGGUAGAGAUACCUGUUCUUCUUGCUAAUGUCACCUUCAGAUCAUUUCUGAAGUUACAAUGCCUUUUUGUCAUGGGAAGUGAGGCAGGGUCCCUAUAUCUUUCUCCUCUACUAUACAGCAGUUAGGACAUUGUUAUGGGUUUGUGUGGCGCGGGGGUUUUUUUUGGUAGCGGGGAGGGGGCCGCAGGGCCGGCUCCUGUCAGAAGCUGCUUGAAGCUUCCCGGGCUCCAGGCCGGACCCGCCUCUGGCCCAGGCCGAGCCCCUCAGUGACAGUGGUAACACCUGUGGGAGAGGAGAUUUAAGAAGGGAACCUGCAGCGAGUCGGGGGAUUGG